Molecule: non-coding RNA, 771 nt
Filed under: Thermothielavioides terrestris NRRL 8126
Lineage: Eukaryota; Fungi; Ascomycota; Sordariomycetes; Sordariales; Chaetomiaceae
Description: Thielavia terrestris NRRL 8126 Archaeal small subunit ribosomal RNA
Rfam family: Eukaryotic small subunit ribosomal RNA
Source: Rfam by way of RNAcentral
AACUAGGUCCCUAUGUCUAAGAGGUUUAUUACCCUAAUUCAAUAAGACGUAUAGUUCUAUUUUAUUAAUUUUUAGAACUACUAUAAUAAUUAAUAGGGAUAGUUGAGAGUAUUAGUAUUCAAUUGUUAGAGGUGAAAUUCUUAGAUUUAUUAAAGACUAACUAUUGUAAAAGCAUUUGCUAAGGAUAUUUUCAUUAAUUAAGAACGAAAGUUAAGGGAUUAAAGACGAUUAGAUACCAUUGUAGUCUUAACUAUAAACUAUACUAAUUAGGGAUUGGAUAGCGUUAUUUUUUAACUUGUUUAGCACUUUACAAUAAAUUAAAAUGUUUAGGCUCCUAGGGGAGUAUAGUCGCAAGGCUGAAACUUAAAGAAAUUGACAGAAGGGCACCACUAGGGGUGGAGCCUAUAGCUUAAUUUAACUCAAAGAUAGGGAAGCUCUCUAAGAGCCUAUACUAUUGCUUAUUUCUCUUAAGUUAGUAGACUAACUUUUAAGACCUAUAGCUUUAAUUAUAAGUUGAAGCCUGCUUACUUACAAAUACUCUUCUUUCUUAGAGCGGUUAUGCUCUUAGAUACUUACACAUGGCCCUACCCCAUCUGACACCGCCCUUGUACACCCACAUGCCUGGCGCGUUCCCGGCUUUGAGUCCCUCAAUGGCAUUGGCAAGCUGUGGGCCCAGGCCUUCGGCCUUGAUGUCAGCAAGCGGGUAUAGAAGCGUCUUGAAGCUAAAGAGGAUUGCUCCGGUUUCAGGGAGCCGCGUCAGAGUCUGCUGCU